GACGAACGCUGGCGGCGUGCUUAACACAUGCAAGUCGAGCGGUAAGGCCCUUUUGGGGGUACGACGAGCGGCGAACGGGUGAGUAACACGUGGGUGACCUGCCCUCAGCUCUGGGAGUAAGCCUGGGAAACGUGGGUCUAAUACUGGAUAUGACCUUUCCUCGCAGUGGGGGUUGGGUGGGUAAAGUUUUUCGGUCGUGGGGAGUGGGCCCGGCGGCCUAUCAGCUUGUUGGGUGGGGUGAUGGCCUACCAAGGCGACGACGGGUAGCCGGCCUGAGAGGGCGACCGG
This 288-nucleotide ribosomal RNA is filed under the name uncultured bacterium. RNAcentral's name for it is "partial 16S ribosomal RNA". It matches the Rfam family "Bacterial small subunit ribosomal RNA", at positions 28 to 307 of the family's 1533-position model. The record is from RNAcentral.